Molecule: ribosomal RNA, 362 nt
Filed under: Bacillus cereus
Lineage: Bacteria; Bacillati; Bacillota; Bacilli; Caryophanales; Bacillaceae
Description: bacterial SSU rRNA
Rfam family: Bacterial small subunit ribosomal RNA
Source: RNAcentral
UUUAUUGGAGAGUUUGAUCCUGGCUCAGGAUGAACGCUGGCGGCGUGCCUAAUACAUGCAAGUCGAGCGAAUGGAUUAAGAGCUUGCUCUUAUGAAGUUAGCGGCGGACGGGUGAGUAACACGUGGGUAACCUGCCCAUAAGACUGGGAUAACUCCGGGAAACCGGGGCUAAUACCGGAUAACAUUUUGAACUGCAUGGUUCGAAAUUGAAAGGCGGCUUCGGCUGUCACUUAUGGAUGGACCCGCGUCGCAUUAGCUAGUUGGUGAGGUAACGGCUCACCAAGGCAACGAUGCGUAGCCGACCUGAGAGGGUGAUCGGCCACACUGGGACUGAGACACGGCCCAGACUCCUACGGGAGGCA